Oreochromis aureus is the source of this 1059-nucleotide long non-coding RNA. NCBI's taxonomy places the organism in Eukaryota, Metazoa, Chordata, Actinopteri, Cichliformes, Cichlidae. The record is from Ensembl.
UUGCCCUGUUGGUGAGGUGACCUGGGGUCAGACUGUUGAAAACACAUGUUCAGUCUCAACUCAGGUUUUAGUGAGACUGCAGACACCCAGCAUCUCCCUGACCUCUCCUAGUGCAGGUCUGGUCUGGGGUCCUGAAGGUGCAGAGAUCACCAGGGGUUACGGUUUUGUCUUCACCUGCUCCGUUAACUCCAGAUUUUCCAGUGGACGUUUCUUUCUCAUCUUCUCUGAGUCCAACAUCACAGACAGCAAGCCAGCAGUCAACAACUCAGCCUCCUUUAGUUUCCCUGUAGCUGAGUAUGAACACCAAGGCAACUACAGCUGUGUGUAUGAAGUCACAGUGUCCACACGGACAUUCAGUUCUACUGCAACAGCACCCAUUACUGUCAUCAUUAAAUUUCCUCGGAUGCUGCUGGUCUCGUCUGUAGUUGCUGUGGUCCUGUUGCUCCUGCUGGUCUUUUUGGUGGUCUUCCUGGUGCUCAGGAGAAGGAGACAAACACAGCUGGGCUACAGCCACACCAGAAUGACUCUAACAAUCUGUGAUGAAGAUGAUGACGUCAGUGAAAAAAGAUAUGGAUUCUGAGAGACUGAACACCAAAGAAAUCACACUGAACAAACAGGAAGAGCAGAGAAAGAGAAGAAAAGCAGAUGAAGAUCAAAGCAGUAGUGAUGAAAAUGAUCAUGUAUUUGCAACUCGGUCAUUUGGUGAACAAACUGUGGACCUUUGUAGAGAACAAAAAGAUGUUUAUCAAAAUCUUUAGGUUAAUAUUGAUUAACAUUGAUCCAUUCAGUUUAACACAGAAUAUCAGCCAGAAGAAACUAAAACUCUCGUAUCUUUCUACAAUGAGACUACCACGUGGUCAAAUAUUUCAUAUAGGUUAAGAUUAGUAGCUACAGUGUCCAUUAACUGAUCAUUUAAGCUUUUCUACUUUUCUUGGCUUACCGUAUUAUUGUCAUAAAUUGUCAUUUCUGUUACACUUUUAACCAGUUAUAAAAACAAAAAAAACACAAUUAUGUUCUAACCUAUUAGACAGAUUAUAAAUUCUGUUUCUGUUUUAUAAU